Molecule: ribosomal RNA, 477 nt
Filed under: uncultured bacterium
Lineage: Bacteria
Description: bacterial SSU rRNA
Rfam family: Bacterial small subunit ribosomal RNA
Source: RNAcentral
UUCGCAAUGCCCGAAAGGGUGACGAAGCUACGCCGCGUGUGGGAAGAAGGCCUUCGGGUUGUAAACCACUGUCGGGAGUUAAGAAAUGCAAGGAUAUUAAUAGUGUCUUUGUUUGACUAAGGCUCCGGAGGAAGCCACGGCUAACUCUGUGCCAGCAGCCGCGGUAAUACAGAGGCGGCAAGCGUUGUUCGGAAUUAUUGGGCGUAAAGAGCACGUAGGCGGCUAUGUAAGUCGGUUGUGAAAGCCUUCCGCUCAACGGGAGAACAGCAUCCGAUACUACAUGGCUUGAGUGCGGGAGGGGAGAGUGGAACUUCUGGUGGAGCGGUGAAAUGCGUAGAUAUCAGAAGGAACGCCGGCGGCGAAAGCGGCUCUCUGGCCCAUAACUGACGCUGAGUGUGCGAAAGCUAGGGGAGCAAACGGGAUUAGAUACCCCGGUAGUCCUAGCCGUAAACGAUGGGCACUAAGUAGAGGGGUUUU